UGAUUUUUUGUCUUAUUUGAAUUUUUUUUGCGAUUAAUAUUUUUAUUCUUACUAGAUGAUAAAACAUGAAUAGUACUUUAUACGUAACUAAUUUUUUUAAGUUUUUUAUAAAUUUUUCAAAUAAGACGAAUGGUCA
Molecule: microRNA precursor, 136 nt
Filed under: Oryza brachyantha (malo sina)
Lineage: Eukaryota; Viridiplantae; Streptophyta; Magnoliopsida; Poales; Poaceae
Description: MIR812 microRNA precursor family
Rfam family: MIR812 microRNA precursor family
Source: Rfam by way of RNAcentral